AUAAGCCUCUCCUGCACACUCACUCAUUGCCAGAUUAUUCUUUGAACUCAGGCAAGACUCUUCUGAUUCCCGGGAAACCUGCCAGCCUUCUAUCGCUCACCUUGAGAUCAUCUUCCAUCCCACAACUAUACAGUGUCUCAUCCAGAAUGAUGAAACUCAGUGUUUUCCUUCUCAUGCUCCUCAUGGAGACGUGCUCUGCCUCCACUUAUCAAAACGUGGCGUUGCGUGGAAAAGCGACCCAGUCAAAGACUUAUGUAAAAAUUGCAUCUGCCAGCAACGGUAUUGAUGGAAACCGUGACAAUCACUUCUAUUCUGGAUCGUGCAGCCACACUGAUAAAGUAAACAACCCCUGGUGGAGAGUGGACCUACUGGAGCCCUACGUCGUCACCUCCGUCAUCAUCUCCAACAGAGGAGACUGCUGUUCAGAAAGGCUCGACGGGGCACAUAUCCACAUCGGCAACUCUUUAGACAACAAUGGUGCAUCAAACCCAGUGUAAGACAUUUCCUGCACACAUUUUAUUCAUUUGUUUUGUGUAACUGUCUGAGCAUUUAGUUUAUAUUCUCCUCUCCCCUGUUAAUUGCUCACCACCAGUAGACAGAGGUGUAUUCAGAUUCUUUACUUGAGUACAAGUACAGAUAACCAUAGUUUCAAAAUAUUUCAUUACAAGGAAAAGUUCUGCAUUCAAAAGGUUUCUUAAGUAAAAGUACAAAAGUAUUAUCAGCAAAAUGUACUUAAUGAUUAAAUGUACAUAUGUGAUAUUUCUAGAUAUAUUCAUGCAUUAAGAAGCAUUUUACAAGUUUAAUUGUAUUUAUAUGAUUUGACUGUUUUGUGACUUAAAGCGUUAGUCCCCUAGUUUAAUUGUUAGAGAUACAUUUAGUUAAAAGUAGCUAAAGCUGUUUAAUGAAUGUACUGGAAUAAAAUGACAUUAUUUCCGUAUUGAAAUGUAGAGGAAUAGGAGGAGAAAGUAGAAUUAAAUGGAAAUACUCAAGUUAAGUACAAGUACCUCUGAAUUGUAAAUGUACUACCCAACUCUGCCAGUAGAUUCUCAUAUAAACUGUUCCUAAAUGUUUCAACCAUGUAAUUUUACUUAUUUGCAUUGCUUAUCAAAAAUAUAGGCAAUGCUGAAGUGCGUUAAACUUGCAUCGUCUUUAAUAUCUCGCAGUGGGUGCCCCUGAUUGC
Molecule: long non-coding RNA, 1180 nt
Organism: Gymnodraco acuticeps
Lineage: Eukaryota; Metazoa; Chordata; Actinopteri; Perciformes; Bathydraconidae
Exons: 3
Source: RefSeq, a predicted model, not a curated record